Non-coding RNA from Schistocerca nitens (vagrant locust), 72 nucleotides. NCBI's taxonomy places the organism in Eukaryota, Metazoa, Arthropoda, Insecta, Orthoptera, Acrididae. The record is from the annotation of a RefSeq genome assembly.
UUCAGGGUAGCGCAGUGGUUAGCGCAUCUGCCUAAUCAGCGGGAGAACUGGGUUCGAAUCCCAGCCUUGAUA